GACGAACGCUGGCGGCGUGCUUAACACAUGCAAGUCGAACGGAAAGGCCCUGCUUUUGUGGGGUGCUCGAGUGGCGAACGGGUGAGUAACACGUGAGUAACCUGCCCUUGACUUUGGGAUAACUUCAGGAAACUGGGGCUAAUACCGGAUAGGAGCUCCUGCUGCAUGGUGGGGGUUGGAAAGUUUCGGCGGUUGGGGAUGGACUUGCGGCUUAUCAGCUUGUUGGUGGGGUAGUGGCUUACCAAGGCUUUGACGGGUAGCCGGCCUGAGAGGGUGACCGGCCACAUUGGGACUGAGAUACGGCCCAGACUCCUACGGGAGGCAGAAGUGGGGAAUAUUGCACAAUGGGCGGAAGCCUGAUGCAGCAACGCCGCGUGCGGGAUGACGGCCUUCGGGUUGUAAACCGCUUUCGCCUGUGACGAAGCGUGAGUGACGGUAAUGGGUAAAGAAGCACCGGCUAACUACGUG
This 468-nucleotide ribosomal RNA is filed under the name uncultured bacterium. RNAcentral describes it as "partial 16S ribosomal RNA". It matches the Rfam family "Bacterial small subunit ribosomal RNA", at positions 28 to 507 of the family's 1533-position model. The record is from RNAcentral.